AGUACUUUUUUUUCCUCUGUAGUUCCAUUUGACUCUAUUGGGUUUUGGCAGUGAUUGAUAACAUAAUGCACCAUGUAGCCCUUUGCAUCUCCAAGUUUAGAUGCAAGGAAAUUACGGGAUAAGGUUUUUCAGGUGCAACAUUUAUCCACGGCAAUUAAAAUUCAUGCUUUUGGGUGUUCUGUUUUUCGCCCAAUUUGCAUUGUUUUGCCAAAUAAUUUAUCUGUUACAUUGAUUUGUUCAAUUCAAUGAGCGAAGCAAAAUGAUGAAGUCAAAACUUGUCUGAUACUGGCAUGAGGAUAUAUUGUUUCAUAAGGAAGAUCCUGCAUUACAUUGAAGAGCCUCGGUGAUCCAGGAAGUC
This 358-nucleotide small RNA is filed under the name Vigna angularis var. angularis. RNAcentral describes it as "Non-protein coding transcript". Lineage: Eukaryota; Viridiplantae; Streptophyta; Magnoliopsida; Fabales; Fabaceae. The record is from RNAcentral.